RNAcentral lists this unclassified non-coding RNA (241 nucleotides) under Helotiales sp. Its description in RNAcentral is "partial contains 5.8S ribosomal RNA, internal transcribed spacer 2, and large subunit ribosomal RNA". The record is from RNAcentral. Lineage: Eukaryota; Fungi; Ascomycota; Leotiomycetes; Helotiales.
CGCACAUUGCGCCCCUUGGUAUUCCGGGGGGCAUGCCUGUUCGAGCGUCAUUUCAACCCUCAAGCUUUGCUUGGUCUUGGGCUCUGCCGGCAACGGCUGGCCUUAAACGCAGUGGCGGUGCCAUUCGAGCUCUACGCGUAGUAAUUAAACCCUCGCGAUUGAGUCUUGAUGGUUGCUUGCCAAAACCUCAAACUUUUUUAUGGUUGACCUCGGAUCAGGUAGGGAUACCCGCUGAACUUAA